AGAGUUUGAUCCUGGCUCAGGAUGAACGCUAGCGGUGCGCCUAACACAUGCAAGUCGAGCGAUCGAGCCGGACCAAUCAUUCUUCGGAUUGUGCGGACCGGUGACGGAGCGGCGAACUGGUGAGUAACACGUGGUCAACCUGCCCUCUUGACGGGGACAACCUACCGAAAGGGAGGCUAAUACCCGAUGUUGUUCAAGCCCGAUGGGGCUUGUUCCAAAGACGGUUCUGCCGUCGCAAGGGGAGGGGACUGCGGCCUAUUAGCUUGUUGGUAGGGUAACGGCCUACCAAGGCAGUGAUGGGUAGCUGGUCUGAGAGGACGAUCAGCCACAUUGGGACUGAGAUACGGCCCAGACUCCUACGGGAGGCAGCAGUGGGGAAUCUUUCGCAAUGGACGAAAGUCUGACGGAGCGACACCGCGUGGGGGAUGACGGCUUUCGGGUUGUAAACCCCUUUUCUGGGGGAAGAAUAAGGUCGGGAGGAAAUGCCCGUCCGAUGACGG
Molecule: ribosomal RNA, 500 nt
Filed under: uncultured bacterium
Lineage: Bacteria
Description: bacterial SSU rRNA
Rfam family: Bacterial small subunit ribosomal RNA
Source: RNAcentral